RNAcentral lists this ribosomal RNA (1542 nucleotides) under Lactiplantibacillus plantarum subsp. plantarum. Its description in RNAcentral is "bacterial SSU rRNA". Lineage: Bacteria; Bacillati; Bacillota; Bacilli; Lactobacillales; Lactobacillaceae. The record is from RNAcentral.
AGGAUKAYUANUSVASKAYUANUSAGUVAGUUGCCUAAUACAUGCAAGUCGAACGAACUCUGGUAUUGAUUGGUGCUUGCAUCAUGAUUUACAUUUGAGUGAGUGGCGAACUGGUGAGUAACACGUGGGAAACCUGCCCAGAAGCGGGGGAUAACACCUGGAAACAGAUGCUAAUACCGCAUAACAACUUGGACCGCAUGGUCCGAGCUUGAAAGAUGGCUUCGGCUAUCACUUUUGGAUGGUCCCGCGGCGUAUUAGCUAGAUGGUGGGGUAACGGCUCACCAUGGCAAUGAUACGUAGCCGACCUGAGAGGGUAAUCGGCCACAUUGGGACUGAGACACGGCCCAAACUCCUACGGGAGGCAGCAGUAGGGAAUCUUCCACAAUGGACGAAAGUCUGAUGGAGCAACGCCGCGUGAGUGAAGAAGGGUUUCGGCUCGUAAAACUCUGUUGUUAAAGAAGAACAUAUCUGAGAGUAACUGUUCAGGUAUUGACGGUAUUUAACCAGAAAGCCACGGCUAACUACGUGCCAGCAGCCGCGGUAAUACGUAGGUGGCAAGCGUUGUCCGGAUUUAUUGGGCGUAAAGCGAGCGCAGGCGGUUUUUUAAGUCUGAUGUGAAAGCCUUCGGCUCAACCGAAGAAGUGCAUCGGAAACUGGGAAACUUGAGUGCAGAAGAGGACAGUGGAACUCCAUGUGUAGCGGUGAAAUGCGUAGAUAUAUGGAAGAACACCAGUGGCGAAGGCGGCUGUCUGGUCUGUAACUGACGCUGAGGCUCGAAAGUAUGGGUAGCAAACAGGAUUAGAUACCCUGGUAGUCCAUACCGUAAACGAUGAAUGCUAAGUGUUGGAGGGUUUCCGCCCUUCAGUGCUGCAGCUAACGCAUUAAGCAUUCCGCCUGGGGAGUACGGCCGCAAGGCUGAAACUCAAAGGAAUUGACGGGGGCCCGCACAAGCGGUGGAGCAUGUGGUUUAAUUCGAAGCUACGCGAAGAACCUUACCAGGUCUUGACAUACUAUGCAAAUCUAAGAGAUUAGACGUUCCCUUCGGGGACAUGGAUACAGGUGGUGCAUGGUUGUCGUCAGCUCGUGUCGUGAGAUGUUGGGUUAAGUCCCGCAACGAGCGCAACCCUUAUUAUCAGUUGCCAGCAUUAAGUUGGGCACUCUGGUGAGACUGCCGGUGACAAACCGGAGGAAGGUGGGGAUGACGUCAAAUCAUCAUGCCCCUUAUGACCUGGGCUACACACGUGCUACAAUGGAUGGUACAACGAGUUGCGAACUCGCGAGAGUAAGCUAAUCUCUUAAAGCCAUUCUCAGUUCGGAUUGUAGGCUGCAACUCGCCUACAUGAAGUCGGAAUCGCUAGUAAUCGCGGAUCAGCAUGCCGCGGUGAAUACGUUCCCGGGCCUUGUACACACCGCCCGUCACACCAUGAGAGUUUGUAACACCCAAAGUCGGUGGGGUAACCUUUUAGGAACCAGCCGCCUAAGGUGGGACAGAUGAUUAGGGGUGAAGUCGUAACAAGGUAGCCGUAGGAGAACCUGCGGUGG